AUGGCCUGGACCCAUCUCCUGCUCCCGCUCCUCGCUCUCUGCACAGUCUCUGUGGCCUCCUAUGAGCUGGCACAGCCAUCCUCAGUGUCAGUGUCUCCGGGACAGACAGCCAGGAUCACCUGCUCUGGAGAUGUACUGGCAAAAAAAUAUGCUCAGUGGUUCCAGCAGAAGACAGGCCAGUCCCCUGUGCUGCUGAUAUAUAAAGACAGUGAGAGGCCCUCAGGGAUCCCUGAGCGAUUCUCUGGCUCCAGCUCAGGGACCACAGUCACCUUGACCAUCAGUGGGGCCCAGGCAGAAGACGAAGCUGACUAUUACUGUCAAUCAGCAGACAGCAGUGGUAAUCAUCCCACAGUGACACAAGCAGAUGGGGAAGUGAGACAUAAACCCCUUUGCCUCUAUUUCAUCCUCUUCCUCCUGCCCCAGGAGGACUGUGGACAAAGCCAUGAGCAGGCUUGGCCAAAUUCACCCAAAUCUGAACCCCCAGGCUGCCCUUCCCUCCAGCCCUCCAGGCAGGCGCUGCAGAAGAGCUCCAAAUCAAGGAACAUGGCCACCCUGACCAUUAGUGGGGCCCAGGCCCGCGACGAGGCUAUUACUGUGCUGCAGAUAAUAACAGUGGGAGCAGCUGGCAGGGACUCACAGUAA
Nomascus leucogenys (northern white-cheeked gibbon) is the source of this 642-nucleotide non-coding RNA. Lineage: Eukaryota; Metazoa; Chordata; Mammalia; Primates; Hylobatidae. The record is from the annotation of a RefSeq genome assembly.